GUGUAUGGCAUUACUACCCUGAACACGCCUGAUCUCAUCUGAUCUUGGAAGCUAAGCAGGAUCAGGCCUGGCUAGUACAUGGAUGGGAGACUUUCCACAGUGCCAGAACGUUUAGUUGAACAAU
Molecule: non-coding RNA, 124 nt
Organism: Podarcis lilfordi (Lilford's wall lizard)
Lineage: Eukaryota; Metazoa; Chordata; Lepidosauria; Squamata; Lacertidae
Source: the annotation of a GenBank genome assembly